UACAGAGGGUGCAAGCGUUAAUCGGAAUUACUGGGCGUAAAGCGUGCGUAGACGGUUACAUAAGUCGGAUGUGAAAGCCCCGGGCUCAACCUGGGAAUGGCAUUCGAGACUGCGUAGCUAGGGUGCGGAAGAGGGAAGCGGAAUUUCCGGUGUAGCAGUGAAAUGCGUAGAUAUCGUGAGGAACACCAGAGGCGAAGGCGGCUACCUGGACAAUUGCUGACGCUCAGGCACGAAAGCGUGGGGAGCAAAAGGG
RNAcentral lists this ribosomal RNA (253 nucleotides) under uncultured prokaryote. RNAcentral's name for it is "partial 16S ribosomal RNA". It matches the Rfam family "Bacterial small subunit ribosomal RNA", at positions 524 to 776 of the family's 1533-position model. The record is from RNAcentral.